RNAcentral lists this small nucleolar RNA (77 nucleotides) under Phytopythium vexans DAOM BR484. Its description in RNAcentral is "Pythium vexans DAOM BR484 snoRNA EPrPVex00000013100". It matches the Rfam family "Small nucleolar RNA SNORD24". Rfam says of the family: U24 is a member of the C/D class of snoRNA which contain the C (UGAUGA) and D (CUGA) box motifs. C/D box snoRNAs have been shown to act as methylation guides for a number of RNA targets. U24 is encoded within an intron of the gene for ribosomal protein L7a in mammals, chicken and Fugu. The record is from RNAcentral. Lineage: Eukaryota; Oomycota; Peronosporomycetes; Pythiales; Pythiaceae.
GUUCGAUGAUGUUCAAACAUAUUUGCUACUCUCGACUUUGGAUGACGACACUUUUAAUCACCAAGAUCGCUGAGAAG